Molecule: small RNA, 509 nt
Filed under: Pan troglodytes (chimpanzee)
Lineage: Eukaryota; Metazoa; Chordata; Mammalia; Primates; Hominidae
Description: retained intron
Source: RNAcentral
GGGACAGAGCACAGGAAAGGGACCCCCACAGUCACCUGUGUUUGAAGGCGUCUACAACAAUUCCAGAAUGCUGCAUUUCCUUACAGCUGUUGUGGGCUCCACUUGUGAUGUAAAGGUGAAAAAUGGUACCACUUAUGAGGGUAUCUUCAAGACGCUAAGCUCAAAGGUCAGUGUACUCAAAUUUAAUUAUUUUUGGAGUUGCAGAGUAGGAGGAGAAUGAAAUAGGCUCAUUGAAGGUGUCAAUUGGGUGAUGUCAGAGUAUGCCUUUAGUUGUUUCUGUAGGCCUGUGCUGAAUAGUGCUGCAGGGAAAAAAGACAAAUUUGAGGGCUGGGUACUUUAAUGUUAAAAUAUUUAAGUUUAAAUUUUUGUGAGACUUUUGCUAAGUCCUGUGGCUGAUGUUGAGAAAACAAUGCACUUGGUUCCAAGUGUGUUGAGGAUGUAGUGUUGUGAAAAGUUUGGGAAGGGUAAGAGAAAUCCAGUUCUAUUUAAGAGAAAUCCAGUUCUAUUUU